GCUCUAGUAGCUUAACCUCAAAGCAUUGUUCUUGUAAACCAAAGCUGGGCCCCCCCCUAGAGUA
Molecule: transfer RNA, 64 nt
Filed under: Hypsiglena jani texana (Texas nightsnake)
Lineage: Eukaryota; Metazoa; Chordata; Lepidosauria; Squamata; Dipsadidae
Description: tRNA-Thr
Source: RNAcentral